UCUCUGAUUUUUAUUAAAAUAUCUCCGCUUUUCUUUUGAAGAUGAACGAAAGUCUUAGAUGGUUUGGAGCAUCUUAAAGCAGCUUCUGCAAGCGUGUAUGGCGUCUGGCUUUUGGAACCUCACUGUGACUUCAGAUAAGAACACAGAUUAAAUUGUAAGAAGGGUUGCUAAUAUGAUAACAUACAGUACAUUACUGAAACUGCUGAGGCUGGGAAGGUUUUUGACUAUAUUACCGACCAGGUACAUUGUUCUCAGAAAGAAUUCAUCAUUCUUAAAAAGAAAACAAAUCAUCAAUCA
Long non-coding RNA from Sinocyclocheilus grahami, 297 nucleotides. RefSeq lists it as uncharacterized. Lineage: Eukaryota; Metazoa; Chordata; Actinopteri; Cypriniformes; Cyprinidae. The transcript is spliced from 3 exons. The record is from RefSeq and is a predicted model, not a curated record.